Molecule: ribosomal RNA, 1463 nt
Filed under: uncultured organism
Description: SSU rRNA
Rfam family: Bacterial small subunit ribosomal RNA
Source: RNAcentral
UGCGGCGUGCCUAAUACAUGCAAGUAGAACGCUGAAGAGAGGAGCUUGCUCUUCUUGGAUGAGUUGCGAACGGGUGAGUAACGCGUAGGUAACCUGCCUUGUAGCGGGGGAUAACUAUUGGAAACGAUAGCUAAUACCGCAUAACAAUGGAUGACACAUGUCAUUUAUUUGAAAGGGGCAAAUGCUCCACUACAAGAUGGACCUGCGUUGUAUUAGCUAGUAGGUGAGGUAACGGCUCACCUAGGCGACGAUACAUAGCCGACCUGAGAGGGUGAUCGGCCACACUGGGACUGAGACACGGCCCAGACUCCUACGGGAGGCAGCAGUAGGGAAUCUUCGGCAAUGGGGGCAACCCUGACCGAGCAACGCCGCGUGAGUGAAGAAGGUUUUCGGAUCGUAAAGCUCUGUUGUAAGUCAAGAACGAGUGUGAGAGUGGAAAGUUCACACUGUGACGGUAGCUUACCAGAAAGGGACGGCUAACUACGUGCCAGCAGCCGCGGUAAUACGUAGGUCCCGAGCGUUGUCCGGAUUUAUUGGGCGUAAAGCGAGCGCAGGCGGUUUGAUAAGUCUGAAGUUAAAGGCUGUGGCUCAACCAUAGUUCGCUUUGGAAACUGUCAAACUUGAGUGCAGAAGGGGAGAGUGGAAUUCCAUGUGUAGCGGUGAAAUGCGUAGAUAUAUGGAGGAACACCGGUGGCGAAAGCGGCUCUCUGGUCUGUAACUGACGCUGAGGCUCGAAAGCGUGGGGAGCGAACAGGAUUAGAUACCCUGGUAGUCCACGCCGUAAACGAUGAGUGCUAGGUGUUGGAUCCUUUCCGGGAUUCAGUGCCGCAGCUAACGCAUUAAGCACUCCGCCUGGGGAGUACGACCGCAAGGUUGAAACUCAAAGGAAUUGACGGGGGCCCGCACAAGCGGUGGAGCAUGUGGUUUAAUUCGAAGCAACGCGAAGAACCUUACCAGGUCUUGACAUCCCGAUGCUAUUUCUAGAGAUAGAAAGUUACUUCGGUACAUCGGUGACAGGUGGUGCAUGGUUGUCGUCAGCUCGUGUCGUGAGAUGUUGGGUUAAGUCCCGCAGCGAGCGCAACCCCUAUUGUUAGUUGCCAUCAUUCAGUUGGGCACUCUAGCGAGACUGCCGGUAAUAAACCGGAGGAAGGUGGGGAUGACGUCAAAUCAUCAUGCCCCUUAUGACCUGGGCUACACACGUGCUACAAUGGUUGGUACAACGAGUUGCGAGUCGGUGACGGCAAGCUAAUCUCUUAAAGCCAAUCUCAGUUCGGAUUGUAGGCUGCAACUCGCCUACAUGAAGUCGGAAUCGCUAGUAAUCGCGGAUCAGCACGCCGCGGUGAAUACGUUCCCGGGCCUUGUACACACCGCCCGUCACACCACGAGAGUUUGUAACACCCGAAGUCGGUGAGGUAACCUUUUGGAGCCAGCCGCCUAAGGUGGGAUAGAUGAUUGGGGUGAAG